Molecule: transfer RNA, 65 nt
Filed under: Watersipora subtorquata
Lineage: Eukaryota; Metazoa; Bryozoa; Gymnolaemata; Cheilostomatida; Watersiporidae
Description: tRNA-Phe
Source: RNAcentral
GUCAAUGUAGCCUAUAACAAGGUAUAACUUUGAAAAAGUUAAGAAGAUCAACUAAUCCAUAGACA